This 244-nucleotide ribosomal RNA is filed under the name uncultured bacterium. RNAcentral describes it as "partial 16S ribosomal RNA". It matches the Rfam family "Bacterial small subunit ribosomal RNA", at positions 90 to 334 of the family's 1533-position model. The record is from RNAcentral.
CGUGAGUGGCGGACGGGUGAGUAACGCGUGGGUAACCUGCCUCAUACAGGGGGAUAACAGUUAGAAAUGACUGCUAAUACCGCAUAAGACCACAGUACCGCAUGGUACAGGGGUAAAAACUCCGGUGGUAUGAGAUGGACCCGCGUCUGAUUAGGUAGUUGGUGGGGUAACGGCCUACCAAGCCGACGAUCAGUAGCCGACCUGAGAGGGUGACCGGCCACAUUGGGACUGAGACACGGCCCAA